UGAGAAUACUGAGUACAGAGCUAGUUCGGCUCAGCGACGCGAGUAUGGUCGAGAGCUUCUCUCACAUACUUCAGUGGUUCUUGAGUUCCUUCAUCGUCAGAGUGAUAUGAGUUUUAACAGUAGCAUUCAACUCCAGGGCAGGCACAGAAAAAUUUUGCGUUGUUUGUUAAGUUGGGUUCGAGCUGGUUGUUUCUCGGAGAUUCCACCUAACUCUUUGGCUGGACAUCCACUUCUGAGUUUCGUUUUUAACUCGUUGCAGGUUUCGUCUUCCUUUGAUCUAGCCAUUGAAGUUCUCACUGAACUUGUGAGUCGACAUGAGUGUAUACCACAAGUUUUGCUAUGCAAGGUUGGAUUUCUUAGG
This 361-nucleotide unclassified non-coding RNA is filed under the name Hevea brasiliensis (rubber tree). The record is from RNAcentral. Lineage: Eukaryota; Viridiplantae; Streptophyta; Magnoliopsida; Malpighiales; Euphorbiaceae.